ACUUACGUUGAAAAGUGAGCGGAUGAACUGAGGGUAGCGGAGAAAUUCCAAUCGAACCUGGAGAUAGCUGGUUCUCUCCGAAAUAGCUUUAGGGCUAGCCUCAAGUGAUGAUUAUUGGAGGUAGAGCACUGUUUGGACGAGGGGCCCCUCUCGGGUUACCGAAUUCAGACAAACUCCGAAUGCCAAUUAAUUUAACUUGGGAGUCAGAACAUGGGUGAUAAGGUCCGUGUUCGAAAGGGAAACAGCCCAGACCACCAGCUAAGGUCCCAAAAUAUAUGUUAAGUGGAAAAGGAUGUGGCGUUGCCCAGACAACUAGGAUGUUGGCUUAGAAGCAGCCAUCAUUUAAAGAGUGCGUAAUAGCUCACUAGUCGAGUGACACUGCGCCGAAAAUGUACCGGGGCUAAACAUAUUACCGAAGCUGUGGAUUGUCCUUUGGACAAUGGUAGGAGAGCGUUCUAAGGGCGUUGAAGCAUGAUCGUAAGGACAUGUGGAGCGCUUAGAAGUGAGAAUGCCGGUGUGAGUAGCGAAAGACGGGUGAGAAUCCCGUCCACCGAUUGACUAAGGUUUCCAGAGGAAGGCUCGUCCGCUCUGGGUUAGUCGGGUCCUAAGCUGAGGCCGACAGGCGUAGGCGAUGGAUAACAGGUUGAUAUUCCUGUACCACCUAUAAUCGUUUUAAUCGAUGGGGGGACGCAGUAGGAUAGGCGAAGCGUGCGAUUGGAUUGCACGUCUAAGCAGUAAGGCUGAGUAUUAGGCAAAUCCGGUACUCGUUAAGGCUGAGC
This 779-nucleotide ribosomal RNA is filed under the name Staphylococcus aureus. Its description in RNAcentral is "partial 23S ribosomal RNA". It matches the Rfam family "Bacterial large subunit ribosomal RNA", at positions 782 to 1561 of the family's 2925-position model. Lineage: Bacteria; Bacillati; Bacillota; Bacilli; Caryophanales; Staphylococcaceae. The record is from RNAcentral.